CAGCCGCCGCGGGAAUACGUAGGUGGCAAGCGUUGUCCGGAAUUAUUGGGCGUAAAGCGCGCGCAGGCGGAUAGGUCAGUCUGUCUUAAAAGUUCGGGGCUUAACCCCGUGAUGGGAUGGAAACUGCCAAUCUAGAGUAUCGGAGAGGAAAGUGGAAUUCCUAGUGUAGCGGUGAAAUGCGUAGAUAUUAGGAAGAACACCGGUGGCGAAGGCGGCGAUCUGGUCCAUAACUGACGCUGAGGCGCGAAAGCGUGGGGAGCAAACAGGAUUAGAUACCCCCGUAGUCCCUGUCUCUUAUACA
Molecule: ribosomal RNA, 301 nt
Filed under: uncultured bacterium
Lineage: Bacteria
Description: partial 16S ribosomal RNA
Rfam family: Bacterial small subunit ribosomal RNA
Source: RNAcentral